UAUCAUAUGAAAUCUAACGAGUCCGAUGAGAAUGACGGAACUGUUGGAUUAAAAAAAACACUCUACUGUUUAGAAGACGAUAUAAAGACAACUCUACUGCUGAUCUCCCAGUGUCUCGGUUACUUGUACUGAUAUCAACAUGAUCAUCUGUUACAUACACGAUUCUAUUUGACCCAUGAGCUGUUAACACCCCGGAAAUUUUUGAGAGAACCAUUAGUUCAGCCAUCAUACUGAAACCAAAGAGACAAAUCCUUAUAGAGUAAGAUGAUUACAGAGUUUACCUGCAGUUUU
This 291-nucleotide long non-coding RNA is filed under the name Brassica napus (rape). RNAcentral describes it as "long non-coding RNA (BNAP_LNC020477)". Lineage: Eukaryota; Viridiplantae; Streptophyta; Magnoliopsida; Brassicales; Brassicaceae. The record is from RNAcentral.